Molecule: ribosomal RNA, 850 nt
Filed under: uncultured fungus
Lineage: Eukaryota; Fungi
Description: eukaryotic LSU rRNA
Rfam family: Eukaryotic large subunit ribosomal RNA (bases 183-850)
Source: RNAcentral
GUUCGAGCGUCAUUAUCACCCCUCAAGCCCCGGCUUGGUGUUGGGCCCGCGGUGGUCGUUCGCGACCACCCGCCCCAAAGAUAGUGACGGCGCCCCAGAGGGAACCGGUACGAGGAGCUUUCACGAGCAUGUACGCGGGACGACUCUGCGGGCGACGGUCUUUUAUUUAACUUUAUAAGUGUUGACCUCGGAUCAGGUAGGAAUACCCGCUGAACUUAAGCAUAUCAAUAAGCGGAGGAAAAGAAACCAACAGGGAUUGCCUUAGUAACGGCGAGUGAAGCGGCAACAGCUCAAAUUUGAAAUCUGGCUUCUCGGAGCCCGAGUUGUAAUUUGUAGAGGAUGUUUCGGGUACCGCAACGACUUAAAUUUCUUGGAACAGAAUGUCAGAGAGGGUGAGAGUCCCGUCUGGAGUCGCGGUAGGGCCCAUGUGAAACUCCCUCGACGAGUCGAGUUGUUUGGGAAUGCAGCUCAAAAUGGGUGGUAAAUUUCAUCUAAAGCUAAAUAUUGGCCAGAGACCGAUAGCGCACAAGUAGAGUGAUCGAAAGAUGAAAAGCACUUUGAAAAGAGAGUUAAACAGUAUGUGAAAUUGUUGAAAGGGAAGCGCUGGCAACCAGACUUGCGUGCGGGGGUUCCCCCUGGCUUCUGCCUGGGCUACUCCCCCGUAUCCAGGCCAACAUCGGUUUGGGUGGUCGGUUAAAGGCCUUGGGAAUGUAUCUUCCCCCGGGAAGACUUAUAGCCCUCGGUGUCAUGCGGCCUACCCGGACCGAGGAACGCGCUUCGGCUCGGAUGUUGGCGUAAUGGUUGUCAGCGACCCGUCUUGAAACANGGACCAAUGUGAUGCCUAAGAAAC